AGGAGACAGAUCUUUUUCAAAUAGGAAAAGGAUCAAAAGAUGAGGCGGGUGAAAAAGGAAUUAAGAUGCGUUAGGUGCACACACCAACUGCCCCCAAGGGAUGUAAACUGCACACGUGGAGUGAUAAAAAGAAAAAAAUAAUAACCUUGGUGCUGACAGGCCGGGGAGUCAGGGAGUCCAAUCAAGACAGCCAAACCUUGAAGCCAGGCUGGAUCUGAAUCUUAGUCCAUCGCUUACUGUCUUCGUAACCUUGAGCUUGAUAUUACAUGUCUCUGAGCCUCCGUUUUCUCAUCCAUAAAACACGGCUGGAAACCAUAAUACCCUCCAUGCACAGCUGCCGGAAGUACUAGGCAAAAAGGAACUAAAAUGUCUUUUACGGCACUCAGUCCUGAGUGAGAUCCGGCAAAAGGCAGUUGCGACUGUUAUCACCGUGACCUAUCUUGUCUGCUCCGGUUUACUCUUCACCGUGUUCGUGUUACACACUGCAGUCUGAAGAUCAGGCUCUCUGAUAAAGAGAGAAGCCAAACAGCGAGCAGGUCUGCCCGGAGGGGUGAGCGGAGCCUUUCCUUGUUCCUCUGGUUUUGUUUAAAGAGCACCAUUCUUGCACCAGCUGCAUCGGCUCUGUCUGAACUCGAGGCCUGCAGGAAUAAAACCUGGAGUAAUGAAUCAAACACAGACACAAAGAAAAAAGACUUCUGCCUGGCCCAGAAUAACUUGGCUUAGUGGGUCAGUACUGAGCCGCACAUGUGCUGUGCUGGGCUUCUAAAGUAAACUGCAGGCAAACCAGCAGUGGCCUCCUCAAAAGGAUUCACCUUCAAAUGAAGCCACGGAGACCACGGCCCUUUCUGAAGUUGAAAACCUCAGAAAGUAAUUAAGUUUGAAAGUAACUGAGAACGUCCUGAAUGUUUCCGUUUGAUCUGACCCGUGCUGCAGAACCACGAUGGCCAGAAAAAGGAGAAAUGAGCACUGUUCAAAAAGCUACAAUCGUGAGAAGUCGGCUUUGGCAGAAAGGAACUCAUGGGUGGGGGCAAGAAAAUGGGCGCCAAGGAGAGAAAAGGAGAGCAGGGCGUGUGCUGAGGACAGCCCCACUUCCCCAGCGAUCCCAGCUGCCCACACUGGGGUCCCCACGGCGGGAAGCAGCCCAGCACCCCACGACUGCAUUCUCACAGUGACGGCAGCAGGGGAGGAGACAUCCGAUGAGCCUGAGGUCUGUGGAGACUUCAUCCUGGUUUGGGCUUUUGUCAGAUGUUCUGUGGUUUUUCACUUUUUUUAUUAAGUUUUCUCUAUGCACACCCACAGCCAGCCAAGGCUAUCCACACCACGGGCUCAAAUACAAGCACGUACACGCAUGCAAGGAUCUCUGACCUGGGUAGUCCUCUGCAUAUGUCACCAGGUUUAAACUCUCUAAUAGAUAUUACUAUUUUUAUUUUACAGAGUGAGGAAACUGAACCUCAGAGAAAGAGAGUAACCAGCUCAAUGUCACACAGCUUCCCACUGGCACAGGCAAGACCUGAACCCAUGGAUUUCCAUCUCCUAAGCUCAUCUUCUCUGUUCUUUGGGACAUGAGCACUGACCUUGCUACCCAGCACCUUUCCUUGUUGCUAACAGCUCUUACAGGGGCCACUCCUUCCGAUAAACGUAAAUAUAAGUAAUAACUAUCAUAAGUGUGUUACUGAGAAGUAGCAGAGGCAUGGCAAGCAGGCCUAGCUAGGA
This 1713-nucleotide long non-coding RNA is filed under the name Cavia porcellus (domestic guinea pig). RNAcentral's name for it is "lncRNA (ENSCPOG00000036464.1)". The record is from RNAcentral. Lineage: Eukaryota; Metazoa; Chordata; Mammalia; Rodentia; Caviidae.